GAUGAAGAACGUAGCGAAAUGCGAUAAGUAAUGCGAAUUGCAGAAUUCAGUGAGUCAUCGAAUCUUUGAACGCACAUUGCGCCCCUUGGUAUUCCGAGGGGCAUGCCUGUUCGAGCGUCAUAUUAACCACUCCCGCUUGCGGGGUCUUGGGCUUCGCCUCCGGGCGGGCCUUAAAAUCAGUGGCGGUGCCGUCGGGCUCUACGCGUAGUAAAUUUUCUCGCGAUAGGGUCCCGGUGGAUGCUUGCCAACAACCCCCAACUUCUUAAGGUUGACCUCGGAUCAGGUAGGGAUACCCGCUGAACUUAAGCAUAUCAAUAAGCGGAGGA
This 326-nucleotide unclassified non-coding RNA is filed under the name soil metagenome. RNAcentral's name for it is "partial contains 5.8S ribosomal RNA, internal transcribed spacer 2, and large subunit ribosomal RNA". The stretch from base 1 to 120 matches the Rfam family "5.8S ribosomal RNA", at positions 35 to 154 of the family's 154-position model. The record is from RNAcentral.